CCGGAUACAUCACUAACAGACAAAACCAAGAAUGGACGUUCGCCGUAGGGACGGGGAGCGCAUUUUCAACGCUUGACGGCGCAGCACGCUGCUGCGCCGAUAAAUUCGGGACUGACUCUUUCUUCUUCACGAAGUUGCUCCUCUUUCGUCGGUCAAAUCUUCCAUGUACUACCUUGUUCUUGGGAAUCCAUUCCGUUUUCAAAGGCGAUAAAUGACGGAAUUUCACUUUACUCCCGCCUGGAAGCGAUGCCCUCGAUGCUAAUUACAGCUUGGUAUUGAUUCUGGUCCAGGCUUGGGAGAGAGCGCGAUUGAGAAUGUUGGUUCUUGAUCUUUCUGGAGUUUUAGGGUUUUAAUUGUAUUUUUGAUGGGAUUGUAAGCGCAGCGCAGAACGUGUUUGACCCAAGAGUCUGGGCUGAUGUUAGUUUUCUCUGCCGUUUUCAAGAUAUAAAAACCGAAAUGAAACUUAUGCGUAAUUCUGAUCUGAAGCCACGGGAGAGCUAGAGGAGGCUCUGAUACCGAGAUGAAACACAACCUGCAUACAAUGAGAAUAGGAGAAGAAGAAGUAUUAUCGGAAGGUUCUGUGUUUCAUCUAUUGGUGUGCCGGCAAAGCAUUUGAACGAAGCUUCUGGGCAUAAGGAAGUGAAGUGCCAUUUUUGAAGAUGAAGCAUAGCAGAACGUGUUUGGAAUUCUAUGCCAUACUUAGAGGAAAGCAGAUGCUCUGUUUAUUAUUCUUUAUAUCAAAGUAUGAAUGGAUUUAAAUUAGUAAUACAUUGUGCUCCAUUUUAAGUAGAACAAAUGUGAUUGACCAUUCUUUAGAAGUUGGUUCAUCAAUUUAUUGAAGAU
Molecule: long non-coding RNA, 843 nt
Organism: Phalaenopsis equestris
Lineage: Eukaryota; Viridiplantae; Streptophyta; Magnoliopsida; Asparagales; Orchidaceae
Exons: 3
Source: RefSeq, a predicted model, not a curated record